AAUGAACGUUGGCGGCGUGGAUUAGGCAUGCAAGUCGAGCGGGUGUAGCAAUACAUCAGCGGCGAAAGGGACAGUAAUAUGUAGGUUAUCUGCCUUCAGGACUGGGAUAGCUGCGGGAAACUGCAGGUAAUACCAGAUGAUAUCUUCGGAUCAAAGGUGUGAUUCCGCCUGGAGAUGAGCCUACAUCCUAUUAGCUAGUUGGUGGGGUAACGGCCUACCAAGGCAAUGAUGGGUAGCGGGUGUGAGAGCACGACCCGCGUCACUGGGACUGAGACACUGCCCAGACACCUACGGGUGGCUGCAGUCGAGAAUCUUCGGCAAUGGACGCAAGUCUGACCGAGCGACGCCGCGUGCGGGAUGAAGGCCUUCGGGUUGUAAACCGCUGUCAGAGGGGAUGAAAUGCUGGUGGGUUCUCCCAUCAGUUUGACAUAUCCUCAGAGGAAGUACGGGCUAAGUUCGUGCCAGCAGCCGCAGUAACAC
This 480-nucleotide ribosomal RNA is filed under the name uncultured bacterium. RNAcentral describes it as "bacterial SSU rRNA". It matches the Rfam family "Bacterial small subunit ribosomal RNA", at positions 29 to 526 of the family's 1533-position model. The record is from RNAcentral.